This is a non-coding RNA of Erinaceus europaeus (western European hedgehog), 132 nucleotides long. The record is from Rfam. Lineage: Eukaryota; Metazoa; Chordata; Mammalia; Eulipotyphla; Erinaceidae.
AUUAAAUCAAUAAAAAAGAAAGAAAAUUUAUUGUAAUAGUGGCUCAAACGCAGGUGCUAAUAGCAAAGGGAACCUCAUAGCCUUAGGAGGACUUCCUGGACCCUUCAAAAUGAAUUUAGAGGUUCUACACAC